RNAcentral lists this ribosomal RNA (403 nucleotides) under uncultured bacterium. RNAcentral describes it as "partial 16S ribosomal RNA". It matches the Rfam family "Bacterial small subunit ribosomal RNA", at positions 30 to 526 of the family's 1533-position model. The record is from RNAcentral.
AUUGAACGCUGGCGGCAGGCCUAACACAUGCAAGUCGAGCGAGCGGCGGACGGGUGAGUAAUGUAUGGGGACUGCCCGAUAGAGGGGGGUAACUACUGGAAACGGUGGCUAAUACCGCAUACUGUCGGAUAACCCAUAUGGGGUGGGCUAGUAGGGUAGGUAAUGGCUUACAUAGGCGACGAUCCCUAGCUGGUAUGAGAGGAUGAUCCGCCCACAGAGGACUGAUACACUGCCCAGACCCCUAAGGGGGCAGCAGUGGGGAAUAUUGCACAAUGGGCGCAAGCCUGAUGCAGCCAUGCCGCGGGUAUGAAGAAGGCCCUAGGGUUGUAAAGUACUUUCAGUCGGGAGGCGUUACCGACAGAAGAAGCACCGGCUAACUCCGUGCCAGCAGCCGCGGUAAUAC